This 289-nucleotide long non-coding RNA is filed under the name Sus scrofa (pig). RNAcentral describes it as "lncRNA (ENSSSCG00015070128.1)". Lineage: Eukaryota; Metazoa; Chordata; Mammalia; Artiodactyla; Suidae. The record is from RNAcentral.
UUGCAUGUUUCUUUUGUCUAGACAGUGAGCUCUAUGAAGACGAGACUUUGUCUGGAUUAAAGAUCAGUUCACUUCUGAGUUCCCGGAGUUUAUCACGACCUGCCUAAAGAUGGCCUUGGUUGACUGAAUGAAUGAAGCCAAACUAGGUGCUCUUGCAAAUCCUGUUCCUCAUACUCUGUCUUGGUGGUGAGUGGAAGUCCAAUCUUCUUUUUUAGAAAAAUAAUGAACUUUUGUUCAAUUUUAUCAGAGAUUUUGCAUUUUUAUUGAUAUUUUCAAAUACCCUACAAUU